RNAcentral lists this unclassified non-coding RNA (16 nucleotides) under Canis lupus familiaris (dog). RNAcentral describes it as "RNA Expansion segment ES10 from Canis lupus familiaris (PDB 4V5Z, chain BW)". Lineage: Eukaryota; Metazoa; Chordata; Mammalia; Carnivora; Canidae. The record is from RNAcentral.
UCCAGGGCGCCCUGGA